AGGAGACGGUCUGGAGUUCCCCGCUGCGCCCGGGGACGGGAAGACCGAGGACCGCAGCGCCCCUCGGGGCUUCUGGGGAGCCCAGGUAACCUCACCUGGCUGCCAGCCUUCUGCAGGAGGAGCAGACGCGUAGGUUCCCCAGUGAACCUGUUAACAACUCAACUUCAAGUAUUCGAUGAUUGUAUCUCUUAAUCCUUAUCACGGGAGUGCCAUUGUGCUGUGGAUGGAGGCUAAUACAGAACCUCACCAUUGGUUAAAGUGCAAAGAACAAGUCUCUGUGGAGUGCUAAGCCUUAAAGGUGACAUCUACAAUAUCGCCCCACCAUUUCAGCAUGGAUAGGGAGGGGUACAGAGGCCCAUUCUGGAACAGAGCCCUUGGGACAGUGCCAUCCAAAUUAAGGGUAUCAGCUUCCAUCAGUCGAGUGGAAAUAAUACUGGACCCUGCUUCAUUGUAUGACUCAGUCCCCAAGCCUUGCCAGACUCCGAGACCUCCCUGGAACUUUUGCUGCUAUUGCCUUCAAGAGGAAUUUUUACUUUGUUAUCCCCAUGUCUGGUGGUGGGAUCAAAGUUGUGAGUGACUACACCUGGGACUUUUAGGAACCUGAGUUACCUACCAUGGCUGACUGAAAAUUCCAGGGAGAUUUUAGUGUCAUCUGUCCGUGGAAACCUGUGUUUGCUGAUGGCUGCCUUUAAAGGCCAACACACAUGAAGUUAGCACAGAAGAAGAAGGAAAGAAGAAAUUGCUAUGAUUUCUCAUUUCGUACCUAUGCAUUACUUGAAUAUAUUGACAGAGACAUGUAUCCAUUUUAUGAACUUAAGAGCAGAGGAAAGUAGUCUGACUUAGGCUCUUCUUGCUGAAUGUCAAACAUCAUUAUCGUCCCGUUUACCCAGUGCAAAGCCUGCACAAUAACCUCCAUGUACUGAAAAAUAACACAUCAAAACUCCAAGUGUGGACUCAGAUCUUUUCCACCAGUGUGACUAGUUUUAAACCUGUCUUCAACUUUCCUCUGUAACCUAAUUCUGCUUCUGUUCUUCAUGUGCAAUAAAAUGUCUUUUAGACA
This is a long non-coding RNA of Meriones unguiculatus (Mongolian gerbil), 1060 nucleotides long. RefSeq lists it as uncharacterized. The transcript is spliced from 6 exons. The record is from RefSeq and is a predicted model, not a curated record. Lineage: Eukaryota; Metazoa; Chordata; Mammalia; Rodentia; Muridae.